This 253-nucleotide ribosomal RNA is filed under the name uncultured bacterium. RNAcentral describes it as "partial 16S ribosomal RNA". It matches the Rfam family "Bacterial small subunit ribosomal RNA", at positions 524 to 776 of the family's 1533-position model. The record is from RNAcentral.
UACGGAGGGUGCAAGCGUUAUCCGGAUUUACUGGGCUUAAAGGGUGCGUAGGCGGGCCUUUAAGUCAGUGGUGAAAUCUCCCCGCUCAACGGGGAAACUGCCAUUGAUACUAUUGGUCUUGAAUUUAGUUGAGGUGGGCGGAAUGUGUCGUGUAGCGGUGAAAUGCUUAGAUAUGACACAGAACACCGAUUGCGAAGGCAGCUCGCUAAACUAAUAUUGACGCUGAGGCACGAAGGCGUGGGGAUCAAACAGG